UGCAGUCGAGCGGACAGAAGGGAGCUUGCUCCCGGAUGUUAGCGGCGGACGGGUGAGUAACACGUGGGUAACCUGCCUGUAAGACUGGGAUAACUCCGGGAAACCGGAGCUAAUACCGGAUAGUUCCUUGAACCGCAUGGUUCAAGGAUGAAAGACGGUUUCGGCUGUCACUUACAGAUGGACCCGCGGCGCAUUAGCUAGUUGGUGGGGUAAUGGCUCACCAAGGCGACGAUGCGUAGCCGACCUGAGAGGGUGAUCGGCCACACUGGGACUGAGACACGGCCCAGACUCCUACGGGAGGCAGCAGUAGGGAAUCUUCCGCAAUGGACGAAAGUCUGACGGAGCAACGCCGCGUGAGUGAUGAAGGUUUUCGGAUCGUAAAGCUCUGUUGUUAGGGAAGAACAAGUGCGAGAGUAACUGCUCGCACCUUGACGGUACCUAACCAGAAAGCCACGGCUAACUACGUGCCAGCAGCCGCGGUAAUACGUAGGUGGCAAGCGUUGUCCGGAAUUAUUGGGCGUAAAGGGCUCGCAGGCGGUUUCUUAAGUCUGAUGUGAAAGCCCCCGGCUCAACCGGGGAGGGUCAUUGGAAACUGGGAAACUUGAGUGCAGAAGAGGAGAGUGGAAUUCCACGUGUAGCGGUGAAAUGCGUAGAGAUGUGGAGGAACACCAGUGGCGAAGGCGACUCUCUGGUCUGUAACUGACGCUGAGGAGCGAAAGCGUGGGGAGCGAACAGGAUUAGAUACCCUGGUAGUCCACGCCGUAAACGAUGAGUGCUAAGUGUUAGGGGGUUUCCGCCCCUUAGUGCUGCAGCUAACGCAUUAAGCACUCCGCCUGGGGAGUACGGUCGCAAGACUGAAACUCAAAGGAAUUGACGGGGGCCCGCACAAGCGGUGGAGCAUGUGGUUUAAUUCGAAGCAACGCGAAGAACCUUACCAGGUCUUGACAUCCUCUGACAACCCUAGAGAUAGGGCUUUCCCUUCGGGGACAGAGUGACAGGUGGUGCAUGGUUGUCGUCAGCUCGUGUCGUGAGAUGUUGGGUUAAGUCCCGCAACGAGCGCAACCCUUGAUCUUAGUUGCCAGCAUUCAGUUGGGCACUCUAAGGUGACUGCCGGUGACAAACCGG
RNAcentral lists this ribosomal RNA (1125 nucleotides) under Bacillus sp. NCCP-83. Its description in RNAcentral is "bacterial SSU rRNA". It matches the Rfam family "Bacterial small subunit ribosomal RNA", at positions 56 to 1166 of the family's 1533-position model. Lineage: Bacteria; Bacillati; Bacillota; Bacilli; Caryophanales; Bacillaceae. The record is from RNAcentral.